GCCCCAGUGGCCUAAUGGAUAAGGUGCUGGCCUCCUAAGCCAGGGAUUGUUGGAUCAAGUCCCAUCUGGGGUG
This 73-nucleotide transfer RNA is filed under the name Perca fluviatilis (European perch). It matches the Rfam family "tRNA". From Rfam's summary of the family: Transfer RNA (tRNA) molecules are approximately 80 nucleotides in length. Their secondary structure includes four short double-helical elements and three loops (D, anti-codon, and T loops). The record is from Rfam by way of RNAcentral. Lineage: Eukaryota; Metazoa; Chordata; Actinopteri; Perciformes; Percidae.